RNAcentral lists this ribosomal RNA (397 nucleotides) under uncultured bacterium. Its description in RNAcentral is "partial 16S ribosomal RNA". It matches the Rfam family "Bacterial small subunit ribosomal RNA", at positions 523 to 918 of the family's 1533-position model. The record is from RNAcentral.
AUACGUAGGUGGCGAGCGUUGUCCGGAAUUACUGGGCGUAAAGGAUGCGUAGGUGGAUACUUAAGUGGGAUGUGAAAUCCCCGGGCUCAACCCGGGAACUGCAUUCCAAACUGGGUAUCUAGAGUGCAGGAGAGGAAAGCGGAAUUCCUAGUGUAGCGGUGAAAUGCGUAGAUAUUAGGAGGAACACCAGUGGCGAAGGCGGAUUUCUGGGCUGUAGCUGAGGCUGAGGCAUGAAAGCGUGGGUAGCAAACAGGAUUAGAUACCCUGGUAGUCCACGCCGUAAACGAUGGGUACUAGGUGUAGGAGGUAUCGACCCCUUCUGUGCCGUCGUUAACACAAUAAGUACCCCGCCUGGGGAGUACGGUCGCAAGACUAAAACUUAAAGGAAUUGACGGGG